RNAcentral lists this ribosomal RNA (1140 nucleotides) under human gut metagenome. RNAcentral's name for it is "bacterial LSU rRNA". It matches the Rfam family "Bacterial large subunit ribosomal RNA", at positions 1287 to 2494 of the family's 2925-position model. The record is from RNAcentral.
AGUGAGAAUGCCGGAAUGAGUAGCGAGAAUUAUGUGAGAAUCAUAAUGGUCGAAAAUCUAAGGUUUCUUGAGGAAGGUUCGUCCGCUCAAGGUAAGCCGGGAGCUAAGGCGAGGCCGAGAGGCGUAGUCGAUGCACAUACGGUAAAGAUUCCGUAGCCACCGAAGUCGUUAAAUACAGGGACACAGGAACAUAGCCUAACCCCACCGUUGGUUGAGUGGGGCGUAAGGGAGCGAAAAAUAGUAGCGAAGUAGGUGAUUGUACACUGGCGAGAAAAGCUGUAUGUAUUGAUAAGGUGCCCGUACCGCAAACCGACACAGGUAGAUGAGGAGAGAAUCCUAAGACCAGCGGGAGAAGUGUUGUUAAGGAACUCGGCAAAAUGACCCCGUAACUUCGGGAUAAGGGGAGCCUACGCGAGUAGGCCGCAGAGAAUAGUCUCAAGCGACUGUUUAGCAAAAACACAGGUCUAUGCUAAAUCGAAAGAUGAUGUAUAUGGGCUGACGCCUGCCCGGUGCUGGAAGGUUAAGGGGAAGUGUUAGAGCAAUCGAAGCACUGAACUUAAGCCCCAGUAAACGGCGGCCGUAACUAUAACGGUCCUAAGGUAGCGAAAUUCCUUGUCAGGUAAGUUCUGACCCGCACGAAUGGCGUAACGACUUGAGAGCUGUCUCAACAACAUACCCGGCGAAAUUGAAGUACUGGUAAAGAUGCCAGUUACCCGUGAUAAGACGGAAAGACCCCAUGGAGCUUUACUGUAACUUGAUAUUGAAUUUUUGUAUUACAUGUACAGGAUAGGUGGGAGACAGAGAACUAAUGCCGCCAGGUGUUAGGGAGUCGAUGUUGGGAUACCACUCUUGUAAUAUGAAGGUUCUAACCUGCACCCGUGAAUCCGGGUGGGGGACACUGUCAGGUGGACAGUUUGACUGGGGCGGUCGCCUCCUAAAAGGUAACGGAGGCGUUCAAAGGUUGGUUCAGCACGGACGGAAAUCGUGCAACGAGUGCAAACGCAUAAACCAGCCUAACUGCGAGACCGACAAGUCGAGCAGUAACGAAAGUUGGAGUUAGUGAUCCGGCGGUAUGAGAGUGGAAUUGCCGUCGCUCAACGGAUAAAAGCUACCCUGGGGAUAACAGGCUGAUCUCCCCCA